This 489-nucleotide ribosomal RNA is filed under the name uncultured bacterium. RNAcentral's name for it is "partial 16S ribosomal RNA". It matches the Rfam family "Bacterial small subunit ribosomal RNA", at positions 28 to 507 of the family's 1533-position model. The record is from RNAcentral.
GACGAACGCUGGCGGCGUGCUUAACACAUGCAAGUCGAACGGAAAGGCCCCCAUCUUGGUGGGGGUGCUCGAGUGGCGAACGGGUGAGUAACACGUGGGUGAUCUGCCCUGUACUUCGGGAUAAGCUUGGGAAACUGGGUCUAAUACCGGAUAGGACCAUGGUUUAGUGUCUCAUGGUGGAAAGAUUAUUGUUUUGGUGCAGGAUGAGCUCGCGGCCUAUCAGCUUGUUGGUGGGGUAAUGGCCUACCAAGGCGUCGACGGGUAGCCGGCCUGAGAGGGUGGAAGGGCAAAGUGGGAACGAGAUACGGGCCAGAAGACUAAGGGGGGGAGCAGUGGGGAAUAUUGCACAAAGGGGGCAAGCCUGAUGCAGCGACGCCGGGUGGGGGAUGACGGGCUUCGGGGUGGAAACCCCUUUCGUUAGGGACGAAGCCGGACUUUUUUUGGGUGUGGUGACAGUACCUUUGUGAAGAAGCACCGGCUAACUACGUG